Molecule: ribosomal RNA, 292 nt
Filed under: uncultured bacterium
Lineage: Bacteria
Description: partial 16S ribosomal RNA
Rfam family: Bacterial small subunit ribosomal RNA
Source: RNAcentral
GUGUCAGCAGCCGCGGUAAUACGGAGGGUGCAAGCGUUAUCCGGAUUCACUGGGUUUAAAGGGUGCGUAGGUGGGUUGAUAAGUCAGUGGUGAAAUCCCCGAGCUUAACUUGGGAACUGCCAUUGAUACUAUUGAUCUUGAAUACCGUGGAGGUCAGCGGAAUAUGUCAUGUAGCGGUGAAAUGCUUAGAUAUGACAUAGAACACCAAUUGCGAAGGCAGCUGGCUACGCGAAUAUUGACACUGAUGCACGAAAGCGUGGGGAUCAAACAGGAUUAGAUACCCCCGUAGUCC